UAUAUAUAGGGGGGUGGUGAGAGCUGGUAGCCAAGUUGUAUGGACAUGAAGUAGCCUUUGAUCAUGAUUGACGGUAGUGCGUGCACGAAGCCGAUGUCCCUAGUUAGACGCCUAACGAGCCGUUUCUUCGGCGUGGCUUUUGCCAUUCCGUUGACGUGAUAAUGCGUUCUUGAUGAUCCUAUUCCGAAGCGUUGCUCGUUGCCCAUGGUGGUGUUGGGACAUGCUCCUCCUAGGACAUGGUGAUUGGGUGUGCGGAAAUGACGGGGGACCCUUUUCGAUGAAUCUUAUGGCGUUGUGRGCCUCGCAAUGCCAUUGUAACGUGCUCGCCAGACGAUCCUAUAACAAAGCAUUACUCGUCACUCCAUCUUGGCUAGUGACUUGUUUUGAGUUGUUUGAGGUGAUGGUUAGCAUGAUGAGGCAUGUAGGAACUGUUUUCCAGGUCGAGGCAUUUGCCUCCCUGGUAAACGGAAACAACGUCAAGARGGAGUGUUGCUUGUUGAUCCGAGUUCGAUGCUUGACCUGCUUCCCAUGGCGGUGUUGGGGCUUGUCUUCUUGAGGACAUGUUGGAUCAAAAGCAUSCCCGAAUCUGACGGGGACCCUUUUCGAUGAAACCUGUGGCGUUGUCGGGCCUCCCAAUKCCAUUGGUAACGUGCUUGSCAAAACUAUCCUUUAASGAAGCAAUUACUCGUCMCACCAUCCYGGGKAGAUGACUUUGUUUUNGAGUNAGUUUKAAGGUKAUGGUGAGCAUGAUGAGGCAUGUUGGUAUCGUUGGCUGUUAUUCUUUUCGCAUCGUUCGGUGCAUCUUGGGAGCUGUUCUGACUUUUUGUUGCUUUCUUGGCUAGAAUGCCUAGUGGGUGGCUAAUUGUUAGGCGGUUUUCGUGGAUGAUUACCCGUAAAGGUGCAUGAGUGGUGUUUGGUUUGUUACCGGUGGUUGGCUCUCUGCUUUUGCAACAACUUCCACGUGGCAAUCCUCUUCAGCUUUGCGUCAAGGUUGCUAUUCCUUGAGCGCUAAUGGUUUCCUGUGUCGCCUACCUACGUGACGGUAUCGGUUGAUUACAUCAAAGUCUUGUUUCAUCAUGUGUCAUUUUAGUAUGGCGUAGGAUGAACCCUCAAAGAAGCUUGUAUGAUCCCACCUUGUUGAUGCACAUGCAUCGAUGUUGUGGCUCAUUGAGUUUCACUUGGUUUUCUGGAUACAGAACAUGGUAUGGGUGUGGGUCCCAUGCGAUCCUUGUUUUGCCCUUGUUGAACGUUGUUAUUACUCCGAGAUCACCGCCCAUCCCGAAUUGGCUCGUACCACCGGGGUAGGUUAAGCCGUUGAAGAGCAAAUAAUAGCGUUCAUGCUUCUCUAAAACAGACGGGCUCGCCUGGAUUGGCUCGUACCAGCGGGUGGGCUAUAUGUCGAUGAGGGAUGC
Molecule: unclassified non-coding RNA, 1412 nt
Filed under: Asteriscus pinifolius
Lineage: Eukaryota; Viridiplantae; Streptophyta; Magnoliopsida; Asterales; Asteraceae
Description: external transcribed spacer
Source: RNAcentral